GUCGAGAAUAAUUCACAAUGGGGGAAACCCUGAUGGUGCAACGCCGCGUGGAGGAUGAAGGUCUUCGGAUUGUAAACUCCUGUCAUCUGGGAGUAAGACCUGACGGUGAAUAGCCGGCAGGGUUGAUAGUACCAGAAGAGGAAGGGACGGCUAACUUCGUGCCAGCAGCCGCGGUAAUACGAAGGUCCCAAGCGUUGUUCGGAAUCACUGGGCGUAAAGGGAGCGUAGGCGGCGUGGUAAGUCAGAUGUGAAAUCCCGGGGCUCAACCCCGGAACUGCAUCCGAUACUGCCAUGCUUGAGGGUUGGAGAGGUAGCUGGAAUUCUCGGUGUAGCAGUGAAAUGCGUGGAUAUCGAGAGGAACACUCGUGGCGAAGGCGAGUUACUGGACAGCAUCUGACGCUGAGGCACGAAGGCCAGGGGAGCGAAAGGGAUUAGAAACCCGAGUAGUCC
This 450-nucleotide ribosomal RNA is filed under the name uncultured bacterium. RNAcentral describes it as "partial 16S ribosomal RNA". It matches the Rfam family "Bacterial small subunit ribosomal RNA", at positions 354 to 796 of the family's 1533-position model. The record is from RNAcentral.